RNAcentral lists this small RNA (30 nucleotides) under Bombyx mori (domestic silkworm). RNAcentral describes it as "ovarian small RNA-4391". Lineage: Eukaryota; Metazoa; Arthropoda; Insecta; Lepidoptera; Bombycidae. The record is from RNAcentral.
ACCCACAGGAUCUGCUCUAGUGGGAGGCCU